GGGAGGGGAGGGGGAAUGGGGGCAGGAAAGAUGGUGGACUGAGAUGAUCAUCAUAGCCCUCUUUUUAAAAAAAAUUGUAUUCUAAUCAGUUACACAUGACAGCAGAAAGCUCUUCGAUUCAUUGUAUACAAAUGGAGAAAUUUUUUCACUUCUCUGGUUGUACAUGAAGUAGAGUCACACCAUUCAUGCAGUCAUACAUGUACCUACGGUCAUGAAGUCAGUCUCAUUCCACCAUCUUUCCUACCCCAGUGCCCUCUCUCCCCCUCCCCUUGACUAGUGGAACAUUAAAUGAAAACAUUAAAAUAUUAGCAAAAUAUUACAAAGUUCUAGAGUCUGCCUUUCUAAAAAAUUGAAAUUGAACAUGCUCAUGAUUGCUUUAAAAAUUCUCAUUUGAUUCUUAUCAUCUGAAAUGCAAGUAUUAUGUAAAUUCUUUUCAUGUGUUUACAUAAGCUCUCUGUAAACUGUCUUGAAAUGCCAAUCGUGUCCACUUUUGUACUGAGAUCAGGCUUUAAAUCUUGCUCCAUUUCAACCAAACUAUAGCAUUCUGUUCUAGCUCUCACAGGUUCAUUUCCAUCUCACAUCUUCACUUUUCCGUGAUCUAUUUUUGAUGUUAUAUUUUGUUUAUUAGGUAAGAUCAUGCUUUCCUGAAAGUUCUUGAUUCUUCUUGGCAUAUGAUGGCAUUUGUACAUUAAAUAUUUACUCCAGUCUUUGCAAUCUCUCCUGUCUAUGUUCAUCCUUCCUGAACGGGGUAUUUAUAUGUUCUUUGAGCUUGUGGUAAUUGCCGCUAUUUCAGCAUUACACUGUGCCCCAAGUCCAGCUUUGCCACCAGCCCGAGGUUCUUGUGUGGUCAUUGUGUUUCAACACACAUGUGGAGUGUAAGUUGUCAAGCUGCAGGUAAUGCCUUCAGGCUGAGGGGGGUCAGGUGUGGGAGUGAAACGUGUGCCUGGGGCUAAGCUAUGUCCAGAUGCUUCAUCCACAAUCCCUCGCCUGGGGGCCAGCACUGUAGAUUCUGCCCAGUGCCGCACCUGUCUGUGGUGGCUCCAGGCCCUUAACAUUUUGUGCCUCCCUCUUCCCACCGAGUAAACAAAAACAAACAAACAACAAAAGAACUACUGCCCUCCUCCUCCUGAUCCCUUCCUUUGCUUAUUGGCCGUCUUAGAAAUUCCUCGCUGGGCUUGCCGGUACAAGUCUGUGAUCCCAUUUCAGUUUUCCAUGGUGGCAACUUUUAAGUUAGAUGUAAGAAUACAUUUCAAUAGCCACAAUUUUACCACUAUUUGCUUUGCAGUAUUUGUUUCUUAAUUGUAAAACUUCAAAAAAAUUUGAAUUAUUUUCUGUGGUACUGGGGAUAGAACUCAGAAAUACUCUGGCAUUAUGACAUAUUCCAACCCCAUUUGUUAUCUAUCUA
RNAcentral lists this long non-coding RNA (1405 nucleotides) under Marmota monax (woodchuck). The record is from RNAcentral. Lineage: Eukaryota; Metazoa; Chordata; Mammalia; Rodentia; Sciuridae.